AGCUCAUCCAGAGGGGCAGAGGGAAACGGCCCGUUGAAGCCCCGGCAACCCUCCAGCCGGUACUCGUCGAUCAGUGCUGAUCAUCCGCGAGGCUCCCCGGCUAGGGAAGGUGCCAAAUCCGUCUCACGGCGAGAUGCGUCGUGAGGAAGAUGAGGA
RNAcentral lists this non-coding RNA (156 nucleotides) under Streptomyces sp. RNAcentral's name for it is "SAM-I sequence". It matches the Rfam family "SAM riboswitch aptamer (S box leader)". Rfam says of the family: The SAM riboswitch is found upstream of a number of genes which code for proteins involved in methionine or cysteine biosynthesis in Gram-positive bacteria. The record is from RNAcentral. Lineage: Bacteria; Bacillati; Actinomycetota; Actinomycetes; Kitasatosporales; Streptomycetaceae. RNAcentral also lists the same sequence under 1 other name.